UCACUUUGGCAGUGCAGAUACUAAAACCAGAAUAAUAACAGAGAAAAUUAGCAUGGACCUUACAUAUGGAUGACACACAAAUUCGUGAAGUGUUCCAUGAUUCU
Small nuclear RNA from Sorex fumeus (smoky shrew), 104 nucleotides. The record is from RefSeq and is a predicted model, not a curated record. Lineage: Eukaryota; Metazoa; Chordata; Mammalia; Eulipotyphla; Soricidae.